RNAcentral lists this ribosomal RNA (429 nucleotides) under Gemmatimonadota bacterium. RNAcentral's name for it is "Gemmatimonadetes bacterium partial 16S ribosomal RNA". It matches the Rfam family "Bacterial small subunit ribosomal RNA", at positions 355 to 776 of the family's 1533-position model. Lineage: Bacteria; Pseudomonadati; Gemmatimonadota. The record is from RNAcentral.
UAGGGAAUCUUCGGCAAUGGACGAAAGUCUGACCGAGCAACGCCGCGUGAGUGAAGAAGGUUUUCGGAUCGUAAAACUCUGUUGUUAGAGAAGAACAAGGACGUUAGUAACUGAACGUCCCCUGACGGUAUCUAACCAGAAAGCCACGGCUAACUACGUGCCAGCAGCCGCGGUAAUACGUAGGUGGCAAGCGUUGUCCGGAUUUAUUGGGCGUAAAGCGAGCGCAGGCGGUUUCUUAAGUCUGAUGUGAAAGCCCCCGGCUCAACCGUGGAGGGUAAAUGGAAACUGGGAGACUUGAGUGCAGAAGAGGAGAGUGGAAUUCCAUGUGUGGCGGUGAAAUGCGUAGAUAUAUGGAGGAACACCAGUAGCGAAGGCGGCUCUCUGGUCUGUAACUGACGCUGAGGCUCGAAAGCGUGGGGAGCAAACAGG